GCGCAGCCGCCGGAGGACGGGUAUUGUUGAUGUCAAUAUGAUAUGGCAUAGCCAUGUUGCGUU
This 63-nucleotide transfer RNA is filed under the name Fruticicola koreana. RNAcentral describes it as "tRNA-Ile". The record is from RNAcentral. Lineage: Eukaryota; Metazoa; Mollusca; Gastropoda; Stylommatophora; Camaenidae.